CCUACGGGGCGCAGCAGUAGGGAAUAUUGCUCAAUGGGGGAAACCCUGAAGCAGCAACGCCGCGUGGAGGAUGAAGGUUUUCGGAUUGUAAACUCCUUUUGUUAGAGAAGAUAAUGACGGUAUCUAACGAAUAAGCACCGGCUAACUCCGUGCCAGCAGCCGCGGUAAUACGGAGGGUGCAAGCGUUACUCGGAAUCACUGGGCGUAAAGAGGGCGUAGGCGGGAUAGCAAGUCAGAUGUGAAAUCCUAUGGCUUAACCAUAGAACUGCAUUUGAAACUGUUAUUCUAGAGUAUGGGAGAGGUAGGUGGAAUUCUUGGUGUAGGGGUAAAAUCCGUAGAGAUCAAGAGGAAUACUCAUUGCGAAGGCGACCUGCUAGAACAUAACUGACGCUGAUGCGCGAAAGCGUGGGGAGCAAACAGGAUUAGAUACCCGAGUAGUC
This 440-nucleotide ribosomal RNA is filed under the name uncultured bacterium. RNAcentral's name for it is "partial 16S ribosomal RNA". It matches the Rfam family "Bacterial small subunit ribosomal RNA", at positions 338 to 795 of the family's 1533-position model. The record is from RNAcentral.